UUUUGCAUUUUUUUACCUUAACUUUUGAUAAAAUUGUGCUAAAUUAAACUAUUAUUUCUUUCUUUCAGGCAAGGCUAUCCCAUCCACAUUAACGGCGUAUCUUCUAGGAAGCUGCCAGUGUCUCUCAGCCCAAUGAAGGAGAGGGCAAGCUAUGUAUGCUACUUUGAUCUCAUCUACAAAAUGGGAAUAUACUUCUAAUCAAUGAAUGUGUAAAGAGACAAAUCUUAUAGAACCCUUUAAAACAGAUUAAUUACCAGAUAAAAACUUCAAGGUCAUCUAACCUUCAUCACAGUUCAAUUUAUCCUUGGCUGAUCCCUUAGUUGCCUGGCAAUACUACAGAAGACAAUAUGAUUCAUUCAAAGGUCUGUGUGGUUUCCACAUACUCUACAUUGCAUUUCCUAGUAAGACGUUACUAUAAAUCUGGACUUGCUCAGAGAAAUUGGAAUAGUCAUAAUCUAGCACUACAGCACUUACCUCAUCUUGUGCAGGGUCUUGACCCCCAAAGCCAGGUUCAAGCACAUCUUUUCCCCUUUUUCUAGUACUCUUUUUUUUGUAAAAGUUUUUUAUUUUUCAA
Thamnophis elegans (Western terrestrial garter snake) is the source of this 574-nucleotide long non-coding RNA. RefSeq lists it as uncharacterized. The transcript is spliced from 3 exons. The record is from RefSeq and is a predicted model, not a curated record. Lineage: Eukaryota; Metazoa; Chordata; Lepidosauria; Squamata; Natricidae.